Long non-coding RNA from Pongo pygmaeus (Bornean orangutan), 3220 nucleotides. RefSeq lists it as uncharacterized. The transcript has 2 exons. Lineage: Eukaryota; Metazoa; Chordata; Mammalia; Primates; Hominidae. The record is from RefSeq and is a predicted model, not a curated record.
UGUGUGUCAAGCUAAAUGGAUAACAGCAGAUACAGAUCUGUUUGCCUGUCUGCACUUGCCUUUAGACAAAAUUCAUCAAUUUUACAAAAGCCACUGACUAAACAUGGCACCAAUACAAAUGAAGCACUUCUAGCAGGUGGGGUUUCCCUUUGUUUCUGAUCUGGUAAAUGCAGUAGUUUCCUGCCGAGAGAUGGGAAGUGCUGGCCUAGGACAGCAAGGUGCCCUACAGGUGGGGCCAAAAGGGUCAAGACCAUUCUACAGGAAGUUUAGGAGACGUUCAAUGGUUCCAGAUCCUGUGUGAUUCGGGUAAUUCUGACCCUCUUCAUUAGUGAUAAUGGCGUGAAGCUCUUUCACACAGUCUUAUUUUUUUUUUUUCAGACAGGGUCUCACUCUGUCACGUAGGCUGGAGUGCAGUGGUGAGAUGACAGCUCACUGCAGCCUUGACUUCAUGGGCUCAAGCGAUCCUCCUGCCUCAGCCUCCUAAGUAGUCGGGAUCAUAGGCACUUGCCACCACACCCGGCUAAUUUUUUUGUAGAGACAGGGUUUCACCACAUUGCCCAGGCUGGUUUCAAACUCCUAGGCUCAAGUGAUCUGCCUGCAUCGGCCUCCCAAAGCGCUGAGAUUACAAGCAUGAGCCACUAAACCUUGCCCUCGACACAGCCUUGCUUGGUGUUAAAGAUUAAACAAAGACCACAGGUGAUCACUCUCUUCAUGAUGCCAGUUUCAAGGGCACCCUUCUUCCCUUCCCAGCCUCCGAGGGAAGGAGAGAGGUUCCACAAGCCAGAUCCAUCCCCAUCCACACAGGUAAAACUAUGGCUGUGCAGCUAGCAGGUAGAGAUAACAUUUGGAGAAGGGCUUUGUAAAUGCUAAAGUCCUACUCAAGUCCAAGGGAGAGAAAUUAUUAUUAUUCAUUUUGUGAAACCAAUUUAGCUUGGGUGGGUGAUGGAAGAAUUUCUACAUACAUUCAUUACUUCUGAUCAGGCAAGACCAGUCUGACACAGGAACAGUAUAUGGCUCACUCUUAAAGCCACAGCAGGCAGCCAGGGCUUGGAGAAAUAGAAACCUCUCUUGCACAAGAAUAGUCUCAAUGAAUCAUGUUAAGGCCUCUUUAAGUUUUUCAGACUCCAUGCACCCUGUGAAAACUGCCUUUCUUGAGUAGAGGUACGUUCAGCACUUCAUAAAAUAAUCUUGGAGCCUCCAGACACACGGAUGGAGGAGCAUGAUUUCAUUUGUUUCUUUGCAAAACUGCUGUCCCCAACUGAAAAACCUGAUUAUCCUUUCAAAUAGGGAAUUCGGCUUUCCACGUUGGAACCAGCACAGUUAACCCCCAAACCCCCAAGGCCUGCAAGAGAUGAAUCAAUUUCUCAGACAGCCAAAGCUGUGGCUUAUAACUCAUCCAACCCAGAAAACUGGACCGCUGGUCACCUUCCUUCCCCCUGCCCCCAUCUCUGCAGACAAAGGUUUCCAGUUGAUUAUGCCUUGAUUAGAGUCAGGAGAGAAGCAAACCAGGUAUAUAGGAUUCCCAUUAUCCUUCCCUCCUCUGCUCCCAACCAGGGUCACGCUGAGAGGGAUCUCGGUGAACAUGUGAACAAUCAAGCCAUGUUUACCAUGGACGUUUAGUUUUCUUUUCUCAAAAUCAAAACAGAGUUUAGUAGGCAGCGUAUUUCAUACAUGCCCCUUGAUCAAUGGAAUGAUCUGUCAGAAGCCAUUAAAGCCCCCAUUAGCUUGAAUGCAUUCAAAGCUAAACUAUUGGAUCAUUUAAGGGCUGCAGUGAUUGUUUUUAAUAUACCGUACAUUGAUUUCUCCCUGUGAGCAGCAACAUAAGUUUGAAACUAACUGUGUAUGACUAAGGCUCCAUUUGCUGUCUCCAGCCCUCUGUGAGAAGCAUGGUUUCACUUCGACCAGAAAUGCCUGUGUAUAGUUUUCAAAGAGAUGCAGACCCUGUUCGAUUUCCCAAGGUUUAGACUGGGUCGGGUUGUUAUUUCUUUUUUCCCUGAGCUUUCUCCCAUUUCUUUGUGCCCAUUAAGUGAGCUGUGCGUGCAGAAUUGGAGAGGCAUCCCUGCAAGGACUUCAAGUGAAAGGUGGUGGGAGAAAUUGUUCUGAAAGCAUGAAGCCCAGCUGAGGCCAAAAUCAAAGUGAAUUUGACAGCCUUGGGCCAGCAAAACUCUGUACCCAGCAGAAAGCAAUAGAUGUGUGGCUGUGUCAGGGGCGUCCUCACUGGGACAUAGCUUGGGAGGCUGAAGGUACCUUGGAAGGGCCAGAUGAGGAAGCUAGCCAAGGCCACAGGCCCUCCUCGGACUGCUAUAUUGCCAGCUCUUCAUAGUAUUGACUCUUCAGUCUUAUUCAGUCUUAGCCAACACACACUUGUUGAUUCCUUCUGGAAUAUCAGACUCUGCUAGCAACACAAGGUCCCUGUCCUCAAAAUCUUAUUCUUAAUCAGCAUUUCUGAUUUCUGCCCUUUGCUCAUUUUAAUACAGAGCCUGAGGAUAGGAGAGCAGCGUGGUGAAAGAAGCAAUAGUUACCACAUUUGCAAAGGCACAUACCCCAAAGAGAAGUUUUUAAUAUGUCACACCCAUUUUACAGAUGGGGCAAUGGAAGUCCAGAUGGGAGAAGCUAUUUCAGGUGAAUUAUAGAAACUGGAUUUCAAGUUUCUGAAACAUGGAAAAAAGAGCGAUGCUAUUAAGGAGGAAAAUCGAGCCAGGAGCAAAACCUAAGGCUAUUUCUGAACUAAAGAGGCCUGAAUAAGGUAGUGAGAGGACCAGGGAAAGCCUUCCCACGGGGAUGGAGAGCCACCCCCUCACCGGCUUUCUGGUUCAGAUGUCUUGGCUCAACAGAGGGCAGAUUCGCAGGGAAGCAGGCCGAGCCUGAUCUUUUCUCCGCUAGAACUGCUCAACAGGUGAAGAAUCUUUUUCCAGCACUCCUGAGCCCUUCGGGUCGCGGAACAGUGCGAAGAUUAUUCCAAUGCCUCAUUAGGAGAGGUGAUAAUCUGGUCUGUGGUUUCUUUUUCGGUGGGGCAUGGUGUGAGGGUGAGUGUCAUGCUUUCUAAGGCACAGGGCUGACUAAAGGGUGUCCUAUUUAUAAGUCAGUAAAACACAGCGGCUUCAUACUCUGUGCUUAUUACCCAGAAGCCCCGGCUCUUAGAGUUUCUAUUAAGAUGUACCCCAUAAAUAUAUGCGCCUCCUAUGUACCCACAAAAAUUAAAAAUAAAAAAAAUUGAAAU